CUGAAAUAAACUGUUGAAGCUAUUCAGUUUUUUUCUUGAGAAAAAUAUUAGAUGGACAGUUUUCAGU
RNAcentral lists this transfer RNA (67 nucleotides) under Ulva australis. RNAcentral describes it as "tRNA-Ser". The record is from RNAcentral. Lineage: Eukaryota; Viridiplantae; Chlorophyta; Ulvophyceae; Ulvales; Ulvaceae.